GGCAGCGUCAUGAAGAGGUUAGCAGGCACUGUGCUGGGGCUUUUGUUUGCCCAGGUUUGCUGUGUGCAAGGGCUGGAUGUGGCGCAGAGUCCCCCAGCCCUGAGUCUCCAGGAGGGAGCCAGCCACGUGCUGAGGUGCAAUUUUUCUGCCUCUGUGAACAAUGUACAGUGGUAUCUUCAGAACCCCAGCGGCCGCCUCAUUCACCUAAUUUACAUUCCUUCAGGAACAAAGCAGGAUGGAAGAUUAAAUGCCACAACAAUCCCUACAGAGCGCCGCAGCUCACUGCACAUUUCCUCUUCGCAGACCACAGACUCGGGCACUUACUUCUGUGCUGUGCAGUACAGUGCUCCCCAGGCACCUGCAGCCUCUACACAAACCCUCUGCGGGGCUCAGCCCCUCUCCAGGCACAGUCACACCGUGAAGCCACCACAGGGCAUUUGCAGUGUUGAUUAUUUCUUACCUACACUGGUACAGUUUUAA
Budorcas taxicolor (takin) is the source of this 480-nucleotide non-coding RNA. Lineage: Eukaryota; Metazoa; Chordata; Mammalia; Artiodactyla; Bovidae. The record is from the annotation of a RefSeq genome assembly.